Molecule: ribosomal RNA, 459 nt
Filed under: uncultured bacterium
Lineage: Bacteria
Description: partial 16S ribosomal RNA
Rfam family: Bacterial small subunit ribosomal RNA
Source: RNAcentral
CCUACGGGUGGCAGCAGUGAGGAAUAUUGGUCAAUGGGCGCGAGCCUGAACCAGCCAAGUCGCGUGAGGGAAGACGGCCCUAUGGAUUGUAAACCUCUUUUGUCGGGGAGCAAAAGACGCUACGCGUGGCGUUCCGAGAGUACCCGAAGAAAAAGCAUCGGCUAACUCCGUGCCAGCAGCCGCGGUAAUACGGAGGAUGCGAGCGUUAUCCGGAUUUAUUGGGUGUAAAGGGUGCGCAGGCGGAAGAUCAAGUCAGCGGUAAAAUUGAGGGGCUCAACCUCUUCGAGCGGUUGAGACUGGUGUUCUUGAGUGAGGGAGAGGUAUGCGGAAUGCGUGGUGUAGCGGUGAAAUGCGUAGAUAUCACGCAGAACUCCGAUUGCGAAGGCAGCAUACCGGCGCUCAACUGACGCUGAUGCACGAAAGUGUGGGUAGCGAACAGGAUUAGAUACCCUAGUAGUC